RNAcentral lists this long non-coding RNA (281 nucleotides) under Pan troglodytes (chimpanzee). Its description in RNAcentral is "long non-coding RNA NONPTRT015389". The record is from RNAcentral. Lineage: Eukaryota; Metazoa; Chordata; Mammalia; Primates; Hominidae.
AGCUUCCUUAACCUAUAAAUUAUAUGACACUUAUAUAGUGUCAUUUUGGAUUUAAAAAGAGUCUUUUGAUAAGUUUCUUUUCUUUUCUUUUCUUUUCUUUUUUUUUUGCUAACCUUCUUUUAAGUAGGAUAAUGCUUGAGUUCAUAUAAAUCUACUGAAAAAUUCCAAGUGAAUUGAAAAAUAAAUAAAAUUAGUUUAAAUUUAGAUUUUAUUAAGGAAAAUAUGUGUGGUAAAAAUUCAAAAAUAAUGGCUAAAAGAAUAGAAACAGCAUGUAUUAAUCC